Molecule: ribosomal RNA, 253 nt
Filed under: uncultured bacterium
Lineage: Bacteria
Description: partial 16S ribosomal RNA
Rfam family: Bacterial small subunit ribosomal RNA
Source: RNAcentral
CACGAACUGCGCGAACGUUAUUCGGAAUCAUUGGGCUUAAAGAGUUCGUAGGCGGCCUGAUAAGUUGGGUGUGAAAUCCCUCGGCUCAACCGAGGAACUGCGCCCAAUACUGUCAGGCUUGAGGGAGACAGAGGUGAGCGGAACUGAUGGUGGAGCGGUGAAAUGCGUUGAUAUCAUCAGGAACACCGGUGGCGAAAGCGGCUCACUGGGUCUCUUCUGACGCUGAGGAACGAAAGCUAGGGGAGCGAACGGG